GACGAACGCUGGCGGCGUGCCUAAUACAUGCAUGUAGAACGCUGAAGGAGGAGCUUGCUUCUCUGGAUGGGUUGCGAACGGGUGAGUAACGCGUAGGUAACCUGCCUGGUAGCGGGGGAUAACUAUUGGAAACGAUAGCUAAUACCGCAUAAUAGUAGAUGUUGCAUGACAUUUGCUUAAAAGGUGCAAUUGCAUCACUACCAGAUGGACCUGCGUUGUAUUAGCUAGUUGGUGGGGUAACGGCUCACCAAGGCGACGAUACAUAGCCGACCUGAGAGGGUGAUCGGCCACACUGGGACUGAGACACGGCCCAGACUCCUACGGGAGGCAGCAGUAGGGAAUCUUCGGCAAUGGACGGAAGUCUGACCGAGCAACGCCGCGUGAGUGAAGAAGGUUUUCGGAUCGUAAAGCUCUGUUGUAAGAGAAGAACGAGUGUGAGAGUGGAAAGUUCACACUGUGACGGUAUCUUACCAGAAAGGGACGGCUAACUACGUG
Molecule: ribosomal RNA, 495 nt
Filed under: uncultured bacterium
Lineage: Bacteria
Description: partial 16S ribosomal RNA
Rfam family: Bacterial small subunit ribosomal RNA
Source: RNAcentral